AUGAAGGCAACAUUAAAAACUAUCCUCCCACAUACUCUGCAUAAGUUGUGUCGGUGGCAUAUCAUGAAGAAGCACAAAGACCACCUCACCUUGCUGUAUAAGGCGCACGAGAAACUUAAGGAUGACCUCAAUGUGGUGCUGAACCACCCACUAAUGUCGUCAGAAUUUGAACGAGCAUGGAAGGACCUCAUUCAGAGAUACAACUUGCAAGACGAUGAAGUGAUGAAUUCACUAUGGGAAGACAGGCAUGAGUGGAUCUCGGCUUACUACAAGGAAAUUUUGUGUGCUCGGAUGACUUCCACACAGAGAAGCGAGAGCAUGAACCGCAUACUGAAGAAAAAGUUUGUCAAAGAGAAGCAUGAUCUCCAUCUGUUUGCUUAGCAGGUGGACAAGUGCAUUCAGACCAGGAAGGCCGUCGAGCACACAGAGACAGUAGCAAAUGAGUCAGAGGUAAAGACAACAACCCAGUUUGGGUUUGAAGUUCAGCUAUCAAAAGUGUAUACAAGGGCAGUGUUUGCAGAUUUCAAAGAAACACUCUACCGUAGCACUGCAUUCAGAGCAGAAUGGUGCCCUGAGAACCCGACAAAGUAUCUCGUACACCACUACAACAGAUUGGAUGCAUUUGACUGGGCAAGGCAUAAUUUCCAUGUGGUCGCCGAUGAAAAGAAAGGUGUCUACGAAUGUGAAUGCAAACUCUGGACACACACAGGGCUCUUUUGCGUCCAUGUGUUAUGCAUGCUUUCUCAUUUGAGAGUACUCAAGAUUCCUGAGGUGUACAUCAUGAAAAGAUACACCCAUAACGCACGAUCAAAUGCGACGUUUGACAGAAGAGACUAUGAACAAACAGCACCAGAUGGAACAUCACUUUUUUGUCGUAGAAAAUUGCUGACAGAAACAGCAAUGGACCUUGCAAACAGAGUGACAAGGUCCGACACUGGGUGCCACAGAGCGUUGUCUGGUAUGAGGGCACUGACCGAGGAAGUUGAUGUGCUCAACGAAGAAGAAGAAGAAGAAGAAGAAGAAGAAGAAGAAGAAGCAAAACUAAAGCAAGCAGAGAAAUCCCAGCAUGAAAAUAAUGCCGAGCAAGUAGAAAAUACCGAACACAGCGGAACUGGUGCUAUAAAAAAAGAAACAAUUCUUCCACCUCCUGUUUAA
RNAcentral lists this ribosomal RNA (1155 nucleotides) under Triticum aestivum (bread wheat). Its description in RNAcentral is "partial small subunit ribosomal RNA". Lineage: Eukaryota; Viridiplantae; Streptophyta; Magnoliopsida; Poales; Poaceae. The record is from RNAcentral.